GACGAACGCUGGCGGCGUGCUUAACACAUGCAAGUCGAACGGAAAGGCCCUGCUUUUGUGGGGUGCUCGAGUGGCGAACGGGUGAGUAACACGUGAGUAACCUGCCCUUGACUUUGGGAUAACUUCAGGAAACUGGGGCUAAUACCGGAUAGGAGCUCCUGCUGCAUGGGGGGGGUUGGAAAGUUUCGGCGGUUGGGGAUGGACUCGCGGCUUAUCAGCUUGUUGGUGGGGUAGUGGCUUACCAAGGCUUUGACGGGUAGCCGGCCUGAGAGGGUGACCGGCCACAUUGGGACUGAGAGACGGCCCAGACUCCUACGGGAGGCAGCAGUGGGGAAUAUUGCACAAUGGGCGGAAGUGUGAUGCAGAAACGCCGCGUGCGGGAUGACGGCCUUCGGGUUGUAAACCGCUUUCGCCUGUGACGAAGCGUGAGUGACGGUAAUGGGUAAAGAAGCACCGGCUAACUACGUG
Molecule: ribosomal RNA, 468 nt
Filed under: uncultured bacterium
Lineage: Bacteria
Description: partial 16S ribosomal RNA
Rfam family: Bacterial small subunit ribosomal RNA
Source: RNAcentral